GGGUUGUGAGGUUAAGCGACUAAGCGUACACGGUGGAUGCCCUGGCAGUCAGAGGCGAUGAAGGACGUGCUAAUCUGCGAUAAGCGUCGGUAAGGUGAUAUGAACCGUUAUAACCGGCGAUUUCCGAAUGGGGAAACCCAGUGUGAUUCGUCACACUAUCAUUAACUGAAUCCAUAGGUUAAUGAGGCGAACCGGGGGAACUGAAACAUCUAAGUACCCCGAGGAAAAGAAAUCAACCGAGAUUCCCCCAGUAGCGGCGAGCGAACGGGGAGCAGCCCAGAGCCUGAAUCAGUGUGUGUGUUAGUGGAAGCGUCUGGAAAGGCGUGCGAUACAGGGUGACAGCCCCGUACACAAAAAUGCACAUACUGUGAGCUCGAUGAGUAGGGCGGGACACGUGGUAUCCUGUCUGAAUAUGGGGGGACCAUCCUCCAAGGCUAAAUACUCCUGACUGACCGAUAGUGAACCAGUACCGUGAGGGAAAGGCGAAAAGAACCCCGGCGAGGGGAGUGAAAAAGAACCUGAAACCGU
This 528-nucleotide ribosomal RNA is filed under the name Shigella flexneri. Its description in RNAcentral is "partial 23S ribosomal RNA". It matches the Rfam family "Bacterial large subunit ribosomal RNA", at positions 1 to 559 of the family's 2925-position model. Lineage: Bacteria; Pseudomonadati; Pseudomonadota; Gammaproteobacteria; Enterobacterales; Enterobacteriaceae. The record is from RNAcentral.